CUCUGUGGCGUCCCCGCCCCUCCUACCGUCUUGCCUCUGGCGUCUUGCGUAAUGACGUCACCACUUGCCCCGCUCAGAAGCCUGGGAGUCCUCUGGCCUCCUUCUUUCUCGCUGCCCCCCACACCCCCACUCCCCCUCCACCCCCCCGCCUUGGCAGUCGGCCGUUCCAGCCUCCAUGCCCUCCCCUGGAUUCCCCCUCCCACCCCCUGGUUACGACCUGGGCCAUCUUUAACUGGAUGACUGUGCUGUCCCACCCAUCCUUGGGUCUCCCGGCUAGGAUAUGUCCAAUCCAACCCACCCGCUGCGCUGGCUCCUGAGAGCUCUCAUAAAAUCAAACUCUGCUCAUGCAGCGUCCACCUAAAGGCCCCCAGUAGCUGCCAUUUCCUCGGACCCAAACUCUUCACAGCUGCAGCCAAACUUCCAGAAGCACCUGACUCGCUCGCACAGAUCCUUCCGUCUGGCCAAACCGGAAGUUGUUUUUUCUCCCCUAGGCCAGAGCCUCUGAGUCCCUUGGGCCUUGGCUCCAGCUGUGCGCUCCCCGCCCUGCCUAGACUAUCCAGUGCCCGCCUGGUGCUCUGCAUCCAGAAGGCCCUGGGUGGUGAGCUGCCCUGCUCCCCCUGCACCCAGGCCGGGGCUGGAUUUUGGACUCAGCACUUGGGUUCCAUCAGACACCUAAUUAUCCAACAUAUUAAAUCAAAUAAGGAUGAAUGUACUCAGUUUGAGUUCUUCUUCCAAAAGGAAAACUCUACCAGGAAUUGGUCCAGAGAAUCUUGGAAUAUUCUUUUGCUUCUCUUAACCGCCAAAGAGCCACUUCGUGACUUCUUUCUCCUUCUCCUCCUCCUCCUCUGCUUCUGCUUUGAGAGGAUUCAUUUCUCUGGCUCUGUUUCCACUCUCUACAGCUCCAUCAACCUUCCUCUCUGAUGAGCCAAGCCUUGGAUCCGGUUCCCAGGCACCGCUGAGGACGAUGAAGUUUAUGAAAAAACCAGCAGGCAGCGUGUCAUUUGCAGUUUCACCACUUGGUGGCGCCAUUGCCCCACUUUCCAUUUUCGGGCAGUCACGCGUCCGGAGAGUUCCUACUGUCUUUUGCUAACGGUUUAGAAUUUGUUGAUGUUCUAAUGUUUUUCAUCCUUUGUUUCAACUCUGAUUCAGAUAAACGGUGACGCAUCGGCACGCCUGGAAAGGGGUUGCAUUUUGUCGCACGCUCGCCACGGGUUGGGGGGAAUACAUCCUGGACUGAGUUAGAGAAGAUGGUCCCAAAGCGUGGACAAAGAUUGGGGCUGGUGACAGUCAAGCUCGGAGAGGCUGACCCAUAGCCCAGAGUCACGGGGAGUCAUUUUUCUGCCUUCCCCCUCGGCCCUAAUGCGGAGAUUUCAUAUCCGCUGUAAACACCUAGUAUUUGCCGAUAACCUCCUGUGCGCCGGGCUCUUUACAUGUCGCCUCAUUUAAUCCUCGCACUAAUCCUGUAUUUUGCGUCUCUCUCGGGAGGGAACGGGGCAGGCCUGAGGAAAAUGAGACCGAGAUCUCGCCAAAUCCCGUGUGCUUUCUGUACACAACACGGUCUCUGCUCAUUCACUGGUCAAACAUUGAUAAUAAAACAGAUUUGCAAGCGAUUCUGUUUUGGACC
RNAcentral lists this long non-coding RNA (1624 nucleotides) under Felis catus (domestic cat). RNAcentral describes it as "lncRNA (ENSFCAG00000046623.2)". The record is from RNAcentral. Lineage: Eukaryota; Metazoa; Chordata; Mammalia; Carnivora; Felidae.